Molecule: long non-coding RNA, 1264 nt
Organism: Astatotilapia calliptera (eastern happy)
Lineage: Eukaryota; Metazoa; Chordata; Actinopteri; Cichliformes; Cichlidae
Source: Ensembl
GGAAGCGCUCGGGUCUGCUGACCAUAUAUAGACUAAGGUGUCUCCUUCCCCACGUGCAGGGAAUUUCUAAAGCGGAUUGCCAGGAAAUUGCUGUCCAAGCCUCCAGAAACAAGCCAGCGCUUAGAAGAGUUCUCGGCAGAAAAUGAUGUAACUUUCCACAGAAACAUUUGACCUCUGAUGGCUUCAGGUCUUCUAAGCCGAGAAGAAAAUGGCUAACUCAUGGGAUUUUCAGAGAUACCUGAUCCAGCCUGUAGGCUGAAGGGUUUGUUUGUUUUGUCUGCAUGUCAUUGCACAUGUGUAUAGUGACAAUAAAAUGCAUUCUAUUCUAUUUUCUUUCUCUCCUUUAAACUUAGCUUAAUAUUAGAAGCUGCCCUUAUUUACUUUUUUACACUAUUGUCUCAAAUUUGAAAUGUAACAUUUUAUCUCUGAGAUGUCAAACAUUUGGUCCGAGGACCAGACCAGACUCACCAAGGGAUCCAAUCCGGCUCACUGCAGGGCUUGAAGGGCUGGAAAGUUUAAAAUACAACGCAUCUGGGAAGUGUUCACAGCACUUCACUUGUUCUACUUUUUGCAUUGUUACAGCCUUAUUCCAAAAUGAAUACAUUCAUUUUUCUCACUUUGUAAAUAUGGGGUAUUAUGAUUGGAAAAAUUAAUGUAAUCCUUUUUUUUAGUGUAAGGCUGUAAAGUGACAAAAUGUAGAACAAGACAAGUGCUCUAAAUACAUCCACUGUAUGAUAUAUUCGGUUUUUCCUAAAAAACAACAACAAAAAAAACAAACCAAAAAACCCCCCAAAUGCUGCUAUUCCUGGUGUUAAAGAGUGAAAAUGUUUUCCAGCUGAAGUGGUGAGGGAAAGUACCAACAAGGUAGGUGGUGUAUCCUCUUGACAGGAAAUUAGAAAGGGAAAGUUGGUGGCGAAUUAAAGACAUACGGGAAAGCAUUUGAAGGAAGAGUCUAGAAAAAAAAAGAAAAAGACAAAAAAAAAGUGGGAAAUGAACAAAGUGCAAUGAAGAACUGAGAAGCUAAGUGUACAGCAAGAAAAAAUGUUUAGAGUGCAUUGAAUUUGAGUCUCGGCAAUAAAGGAAGGCGAAAAUAACUUGUCAAUUGGCUAGACAGAGAUCGAGCUGGAACGGAUGAGCAGCAGGUUGGGGUGAUUAAGGAUAGAGUUGGAAAUGUGCUAAUGAGUCAAGUCAGGGUGUUGACAAGUUGGAAGAAAUACUUUUGAGGAACUGAUGGGUGUAGAAAAUGUAAGAGAGAGUAAGAUGG